UAACAAGUGACAGUUAAAACAAAACAAGUCGUGAGGUGUAAAGCGGCGGGGCACACUUGGUCUGCGAUGAACCUGAAAUCCUCCAGAUGAAAUUGACCGGAUCGGUGCACAUAUUUUUUCACUACGUUCCAAAAUUUAAAUUGCAAGCAUACACAAUAUGUUAACCAUGAAGAGAAGCAAGACCAUAACACGGGUCAAAAUAGCCCUUUGGACAACUUACUCCAAGACCGUGGCCUGGUCCUUUGUGUGUCCUUGUUUCAAGAUUGUGCAGAGCAGGAGGCAGAAAUUUCUUGACAACGAUGCCUGCUCCUUUAUUUUCUGAAAGUCCAAAUCCAAGAGAAUAUGUUGGGAGAGUGGGAGUUGGGGCACCUUUGAGAUGGGAUCCUCACCCUGACCUGGAGACUGAGAGCCCGGGGAUGGGUACAUCUGUGAGAAGCGGAAACGCUCGCUCUGGGUGGUCCAGGAUUGCUCAGACACCAGGUCCCUGGAUUGGAUGGUGAUCCCCAGUUGGAAAGCAGAAUCCACAGACAUCUAAGAGACAGGCAGUUUAUAAGAGUGGGCAUGACUGCUGUGAAGGAAGCCCACCCUGGUAUUGGAGGUUGUGGGGA
This is a long non-coding RNA of Prionailurus viverrinus (fishing cat), 608 nucleotides long. RefSeq lists it as uncharacterized. The transcript is spliced from 3 exons. The record is from RefSeq and is a predicted model, not a curated record. NCBI's taxonomy places the organism in Eukaryota, Metazoa, Chordata, Mammalia, Carnivora, Felidae.